This 253-nucleotide ribosomal RNA is filed under the name uncultured bacterium. RNAcentral describes it as "partial 16S ribosomal RNA". It matches the Rfam family "Bacterial small subunit ribosomal RNA", at positions 524 to 776 of the family's 1533-position model. The record is from RNAcentral.
UACGGGGGGGGCAAGCGUUGUUCGGAAUUACUGGGCGUAAAGGGUUCGUAGGUGGCCUGCUAAGUCAGACGUGAAAUCCCUCAGCUUAACUGGGGAACUGCGUCUGAGACUGGUGGGCUUGAGUGCAGGAGAGGAACGCGGAAUUCCAGGUGUAGCGGUGAAAUGCGUAGAUAUCUGGAGGAACACCGGUGGCGAAAGCGGCUCACUGGACCGAAUCUGACACUGAGGUGCGAAAGCUAGGGUAGCAAACGGG